GGGCCCCUCCCCCUUCCCUCUCCCUCUCUCUCCCUCUCUCUUUCUCUCUCUCACUCUGCCCUCCUUUCUCUCUCUCACUCUCCCACACCCUCUCUCUCUCUCUCUCUCUCUCUCUCUCUCGUGCGCUCUAGUCUCGAGCAGCAGUUGGUGGAGGCUCACACUAGCGCGCGGACAUCAGAAGCAAUAGGACGCGAAGGCGAGGCGCGCGCACGGAGUACACAGGACGCGCACAGUAACCGGGGGGAGUACCGGACACACAGACCACAACCAAGACCACCACCGCGCGCAGGUAGAAGACCCCCACUGAGCCGGACAUGUGGAAUCGGACUAUCUAAAGAUCUUCAGGAGCUUUUAUUGGACUAGAUUUGUGUUUUUAACGCGUUUGAUGGCUGGAAAGGCGCAUCGGUAAAAAUUGCGCACUGUGCGCAAAAGACGAGCAGAAGGGCGCACCGGGAACACACGGGCGCGCGCAUACGCGUAUCUCCCGGGCAGCAGAACCAGGGCACAGGAGGGACCCCCGGUGCCAGCUCGGGCUUGCAGAAUUGAAGAAAGACCACCGGGUGCCUAACUAAAGGAUUUUCCGCGCGUUACGUGCGCGCGCGCUAAAAGAUUGCGCUUUUGGAUUUACCGCAAAACUUCUCCCUCUACACCUCAAAACCACCACCACCACCGCGCUUUCCUUCCCCGCGGAUGGGGCUGAGUCUGAGUGGGGAGCCCGUCGUGGAGCGCGUGCAGAGCCUGUAGGACCCCCCUGCUUCUGCUACUGCUACUACUCCCUCACUCUCUCGCUACACACCUUGACGCGCGCGCACACACACACACGCCGACACACACACCUUCAUGCCCUCCUCUGUCUGGAUCCCAGUAUGGAUUACUUUGUGCUCCUCUGCAGCUUCCUGCUGCCCCUCAGCACCGCUGUGGAAGAAACAUUGAUGGACACCAAAUGGGCCACAACUGAGCUGGCCUGGACGGCACAUCCUGAGACAGGGGUGAGUUAUACGUAAAACUACCAACUUGAACAGUAUUUCUAUUUUACAACACACUUUCAGAGCAGAACAAAUCUAAGAAACUUCAGUAUCUGUUGUCUUUGUUGCCCAAAAAGUAUAGUGUUUGGUUCCUAGUGUGUUUGUACGUGAAUUAGGGCACUAACUGUCUCUUUCUGCUCCGCCCCCUACCCUUUACCAUGCUGUACCAGCUGUUCC
Molecule: long non-coding RNA, 1202 nt
Filed under: Astyanax mexicanus (Mexican tetra)
Lineage: Eukaryota; Metazoa; Chordata; Actinopteri; Characiformes; Acestrorhamphidae
Description: lncRNA (ENSAMXG00005014964.1)
Source: RNAcentral